GUACUUUAUUGGGGAUGUGUUUGCUGCAUGGUUCAAUGAUGCCCUCACAGUUGUGGAGAGUUUGGUCAAAGUCACUCUGUAUGGAUCUCAGAUAAAGUUGUACAACAUUGAAACUGAUGUGCCAUCAGUAUUGAAACCUGACCUCAUUGAUGUACGUGCUCAGUCCCUGGCUGUGCUGCAGGCUUACACUCACUGGUUAGUGCAGUAUUGCAGUGAAG
This 218-nucleotide long non-coding RNA is filed under the name Homo sapiens (human). RNAcentral describes it as "non-protein coding lnc-OR6S1-4:1". Lineage: Eukaryota; Metazoa; Chordata; Mammalia; Primates; Hominidae. The record is from RNAcentral.